UACGCACGACUCUCUUCAUCCCAUAUAAAUCUUUCGCCUUUUACUAAAGAUUUUUGUGGAGAGGUGAUAGUGAUGAGUUCAUGGUAUUUUUGGAGGCUCUGCCCAAGCAGAGCC
This 114-nucleotide small nuclear RNA is filed under the name Paramormyrops kingsleyae. RNAcentral describes it as "U5 spliceosomal RNA (ENSPKIG00000015486.1)". It matches the Rfam family "U5 spliceosomal RNA". From Rfam's summary of the family: U5 RNA is a component of both types of known spliceosome. The precise function of this molecule is unknown, though it is known that the 5' loop is required for splice site selection and p220 binding, and that both the 3' stem-loop and the Sm site are important for Sm protein binding and cap methylation. Lineage: Eukaryota; Metazoa; Chordata; Actinopteri; Osteoglossiformes; Mormyridae. The record is from RNAcentral.